UGGCUCAGGAUGACGCUAGCGGUGUGUUUACACAUGCAAGUCGAGCGAGGCUUCGAGCCGAGCGGCAGACGAGAGAGUAACACGUUGGAACCUACCCCAAACUCAGGGAUAACCUUCUGAAAAGAAGGCUAAUACCGGAUAGCCUCGAAAGAGUAAAGCUUUUGCGGUUUGGGAGGGGCCUGCGGCCUAUCAGCUAGUUGGUAAGGUAAUGGCUUACCAAGGCGAUGACGGGUAGCUGAUGUGAGAGCAUGAUCAGCCUCGAUGGGACUGCGACACGGCCCAUACUCCUACGGGAGGCAGCAGUGAAGAAUCUUCCGCAAUGGACGAAAGUCUGACGGAGCAACACCGCGUGGAGGACGACGGCCUUCGGGUUGUAAACUCCUUUUCUGAGGGAACAAGUAUGAGGGUACCUCAGGAAUAAGGCGCUGCUAACUACGUGCCAGCAGCAGCGGUAAUACGUAGGCGCCAAGCGUUAUCCGGAAUUACUGGGCGUAAAGAGUCUGUAGGCGGCGGAUAAAGUCGAGUGUUAAAUUUUCAUGCUCAACGUGAAAAAUGUACUCGAAACUUAUUUGCUUAGAGUCUGAGAGAGGCUACUGGAAUUCCCAUUGAAGGAGUAAAAUCCGUAGAUCAUGGGAGGAACACCAAAAGCGAAGGCAGGUAGCUGGAUCAGGACUGACGCUGAGAGACGAAAGCGUGGGUAGCGAACAGGAUUAGAUACCCUGGUAGUCCACGCCGUAAACGAUGAGUGCUAGGCGUUGGAGAGUCAUUUCGACCCUUUCCAGUGUCUAAAGUUAACACGUUAAGCACUCCGUCUGGGGAGUACGAGCGCAAGCUUAAAACUCA
This 843-nucleotide ribosomal RNA is filed under the name uncultured organism. RNAcentral describes it as "bacterial SSU rRNA". It matches the Rfam family "Bacterial small subunit ribosomal RNA", at positions 20 to 903 of the family's 1533-position model. The record is from RNAcentral.